RNAcentral lists this long non-coding RNA (610 nucleotides) under Pogona vitticeps (central bearded dragon). Its description in RNAcentral is "lncRNA (ENSPVIG00000022168.1)". Lineage: Eukaryota; Metazoa; Chordata; Lepidosauria; Squamata; Agamidae. The record is from RNAcentral.
GUGUACAGUUGCUCAGCUCUGUGUAUGACUCUGCACUAACAGGAAAAGGAAGGACUUUGAGGUGAUGUCACAAGGCCUAGGAAGAGAAACAGGAUACACCAAGGUUAAGAAGACACGAUCAAAGCUGGGACAAUGAUAUUUUGCUACUGUAUGAAUUCUCCCUCAGCUGGCUUAAUCCUCUUCUUAGGGAGACCUGGUGCUGAAAGCCGAUCAUUUAGGUGGACUCUAAAUAAAGCCAGUAGCUUGAAUUCCUGCCACCAGCCCUUUUAUAAUGAAAAGGCUCUAAUGAAUGCUGAUUUCAUUGCAGCACAAACAGAGCUUCCCUUUGGCAGUUCCUCUUGACUCUGAAAUUAGCUUCUCUGAUUCAUUCCAACCAAUUCUUCCACUGGCAAACGUGCGUCCUGGUGCAAGGAUAGACAACUGCCCACCCUCUCAGCUACAAGCGAUUGUUAUUUUGAGCCAUUUUCAACACCCCUGUAUUGCACACCUAAAAAUGACCACUGCUGUUUCUCCUCAAUUUAAUGUCACUGUCUUGUGUGACAGCCACUCCUGUCCCCAAAGUAACAAAACACAUUUUGAAAGCUGCACACUGACAGACACUACAUAGUGC